RNAcentral lists this ribosomal RNA (254 nucleotides) under uncultured bacterium. RNAcentral's name for it is "partial 16S ribosomal RNA". It matches the Rfam family "Bacterial small subunit ribosomal RNA", at positions 524 to 777 of the family's 1533-position model. The record is from RNAcentral.
UACGGAGGGAGCUAGCGUUAUUCGGAAUUACUGGGCGUAAAGCGCACGUAGGCGGCUUUGUAAGUUAGAGGUGAAAGCCCGGAGCUCAACUCCGGAACUGCCUUUAAGACUGCAUCGCUUGAAUCCAGGAGAGGUGAGUGGAAUUCCGAGUGUAGAGGUGAAAUUCGUAGAUAUUCGGAAGAACACCAGUGGCGAAGGCGGCUCACUGGACUGGUAUUGACGCUGAGGUGCGAAAGCGUGGGGAGCAAACAGGG